Molecule: microRNA, 24 nt
Filed under: Glycine max (soybean)
Lineage: Eukaryota; Viridiplantae; Streptophyta; Magnoliopsida; Fabales; Fabaceae
Description: gma-miR1531-5p
Source: miRBase by way of RNAcentral
AUAUGGACGAAGAGAUAGGUAAAU